This 253-nucleotide ribosomal RNA is filed under the name uncultured bacterium. RNAcentral describes it as "partial 16S ribosomal RNA". It matches the Rfam family "Bacterial small subunit ribosomal RNA", at positions 524 to 776 of the family's 1533-position model. The record is from RNAcentral.
UACGUAGGGGGCAAGCGUUAUCCGGAAUUACUGGGUGUAAAGGGUACGUAGGCGGUUUAUUAGGUCAGAUGUGAAAGCCCGAGGCUCAACCUCGGGAUUGCAUUUGAAACUGGUAAACUAGAGUACAGGAGAGGUAAGUGGAAUUCCUAGUGUAGCGGUGAAAUGCGUAGAUAUUAGGAGGAACACCAGUGGCGAAGGCGGCUUACUGGACUGUAACUGACGCUGAGGUACGAAAGCGUGGGGAGCGAACAGG